UCAAGAAACUUCCACAAUGGGCGAAAGCCUGAUGGAGCGACGUCGCGUGAUGGACGAAGUGCUUCGGCACGUAAACAUCUUUUAUGUGGGAUGAAAUUAUUGACAGUACCACAUGAAUAAGGGGCUCCUAACUCUGUGCCAGCAGGAGCGGUAAUACAGAGGCCCCAAGCGUUAUCCGGAAUCACUGGGCGUAAAGGGUGUCGAGGCGGUUGUAUUAGUCGUUCGUAAAAUCUACGAGCUUAACUUGUAGGCGGCGAACGAAACGGUACGACUUGAGGUUUGGAGAGGUGCGUGGAACUCACGGUGUAGGGGUGAAAUCCGUUGAUAUCGUGGGGAACACCAAAGGCGAAGGCAGCGCACUGGCCAAAAUCUGACGCUCACACACGAAAGCUAGGGUAGCGAAGAGGAUUAGAUACCCCGGUAGUCCCUGAGCGGGCUGGCAAGGCGCAU
RNAcentral lists this ribosomal RNA (450 nucleotides) under uncultured bacterium. Its description in RNAcentral is "bacterial SSU rRNA". It matches the Rfam family "Bacterial small subunit ribosomal RNA", at positions 355 to 825 of the family's 1533-position model. The record is from RNAcentral.